GUAAACUCAUGAUGUGUGUGUGAUGUAUUCUAUAGAUUUGCACAGGGCCUUCGUCUCAGACAGGUUGAUAUGGUGGAGGACGAUAUUGCUGCAACCCUCUCCAAGAUGGGCACAAAACUAAGGAAGGUCUGCAGACGGGCUGUUGAGAGGACGAGACGACAAAAAGGACAAAAAGGACGGCUCAUCGGUGGACGGCGGCAAUUUGUUGUAAUUGAUGAGUCAUUUCCGCCAUAAGAGAAAGUAUGGGAGAGGAAGAAUGGGUGGCAUGGAGAAGACGGAAAUGGGUCUUCGGCGUGCUUGGUGUGCAGCAGCAGAGGAGCAAGAGAGCGAAGCCGCACCAGGAGGAGCUCUUCUUUCUGAGGGUGAACAAGAUCACCUGAUUCCUCCACCUCGCGGUGCC
Gasterosteus aculeatus aculeatus (three-spined stickleback) is the source of this 400-nucleotide long non-coding RNA. The record is from Ensembl. Lineage: Eukaryota; Metazoa; Chordata; Actinopteri; Perciformes; Gasterosteidae.